AACGAACGCUGGCGGCAGGCCUAACACAUGCAAGUCGAGCGAGCAUUUCGGCGCUAGCGGCGGACGGGUGAGUAACGCGUGGGAACGUGCCCUUUUCUGCGGAAUAGUCCUGGGAAACUGGGGGUAAUACCGCAUACGCCCUUUUGGGGAAAGAUUUAUCGGAGAAGGAUCGGCCCGCGUUGGAUUAGGUAGUUGGUGGGGUAAUGGCCCACCAAGCCGACGAUCCAUAGCUGGUUUGAGAGGAUGAUCAGCCACACUGGGACUGAGACACGGCCCAGACUCCUACGGGAGGCAGCAGUGGGGAAUCUUAGACAAUGGGGGCAACCCUGAUCUAGCCAUGCCGCGUGAGUGAUGAAGGCCUUAGGGUUGUAAAGCUCUUUCAGCUGGGAAGAUAAUGACGGUACCAGCAGAAGAAGCCCCGGCUAACUCCGUG
RNAcentral lists this ribosomal RNA (433 nucleotides) under uncultured bacterium. RNAcentral describes it as "partial 16S ribosomal RNA". It matches the Rfam family "Bacterial small subunit ribosomal RNA", at positions 29 to 507 of the family's 1533-position model. The record is from RNAcentral.